UACGUAGGGCGCAAGCGUUGUCCGGAAUUAUUGGGCGUAAAGAGCUCGUAGGCGGUCUGUUACGUCCGCUGUGAAAACCCAGGGCUUAACCCUGGGCUUGCAGUGGAUACGGGCAGACUAGAGGUAGGUAGGGGAGAAUGGAAUUCCCGGUGUAGCGGUGAAAUGCGCAGAUAUCGGGAGGAACACCGGUGGCGAAGGCGGUUCUCUGGGCCUUACCUGACGCUGAGGAGCGAAAGCGUGGGGAGCAAACAGG
This 253-nucleotide ribosomal RNA is filed under the name uncultured bacterium. RNAcentral's name for it is "partial 16S ribosomal RNA". It matches the Rfam family "Bacterial small subunit ribosomal RNA", at positions 524 to 776 of the family's 1533-position model. The record is from RNAcentral.